GCUGGGCGUGGUAGUGCAUGCCUGUAAUCCCAGCAACUCAGGAGGCUGAGACAGAAGGAUCAUGAGUUCAAAGUGAGCCUCAGUAAAUUAGGCCGUAGGUAACUUAGGGAGAGGCUGUCUCAA
RNAcentral lists this small RNA (123 nucleotides) under Marmota monax (woodchuck). The record is from RNAcentral. Lineage: Eukaryota; Metazoa; Chordata; Mammalia; Rodentia; Sciuridae.